AUGGCUGGACUAGCUUCCCAGAUGAAGAGAUCUUGUGACUGCUGCAAGAGAUAUGCUGACCAUUUGGAUGGAAGGAUGAAGUGUUUCUGCAGACGCAUGACUGCUAAUUUCAGACAUGGCAUGGCUAUACCGAACAAGUUCAUAGACCAUUUCGGUGGAAAGAUCUCAAGGACCAUCGAACUGGAAUCCCAUAACGGAAGCAUGUACACCGUUGAAGUCUCCAAGCUUAUGAACGAAACGGUCCUCCGGCGGCGUGGUUGGGAGGCGUUUGUCAAUGCGCAUUCCAUCGAGGAGAACGACUCGUUGCUGUUUCCCCACAUUGAGAAGUCGCUAUUCGAGGUCCUGGUGCUCGACUCUGAUGACUGUGAGAAAGUGCUUCCCUCUGCUGGCAUCAAAGUUGCUUCUUGUAAUGUUCAAGAAAGCAGCAGCGUGGAUUAUAUUGAUAUAUCAAGCAGCGUGGGUUAUAUUGAUAUAUCAAGCAGCUCGGGUGAUGAUACCACAAGAUCUCCGGGAAGCAAACGGUUUGCUACGUGUGAAAGAGGCGACUCAAGCCAUCCUAGAAAAACUGCCGUAAACGACUCCUCGUCUGAGGAGGAUUCAGGAGAAGACAGUGACGCGAAGGCAGAGGAACAUUCUGAAGAUGAAUCGUCUUUUGGGCUAGAUGAUGUACGUCAGACACCUUGCACAGGGCGCGACUAUGUCUUGUCCCUAAAUGCUCGUCUGUCUGGAGCUCAGGAGGAGAGAGUAACUAGGCUUCUCCAGGCUGUUCGAGCCAAGACUCCCGUGUUCGUGGCCAUCAUGAAAAUGAACACACGGAUUCAUACUACUGUGAUCCCCAAGCUUUUUGCAGAGGAGCACUUCCCGCGUGAAAGUCAGAACCUGACGCUGCAGCGGCCAGGCAAGAGCAAGAAGUGGCACCCAUGGUUUUACAUAAGGAAGAGUCAAUGUGGGCACGUCCUCACCGGGUCUCGCUGGGUAGGCUUCCUCCGUGACAAUGGCGUGCAGGAGGGAGAUCUCUGCGUCUUCCAACCAGUGAAGGGCACUGGCACCAGGAGCAAAUUCACAGUCCAUCUGCUUCACGAGCCCUUGGGUGCAAAUGGAAGUACUGGUCCGAAGAAAAGAGUAGGAAACACAAGGGUGAACUCGGCUGCCCCUGAAAGAUCAACCACUGCUCAUGGUCAUGGUGCAACAACAAUGGCAAAGGCGGCGCCACAUCCAGACGCCCCGACAACCCUCCGUGUCAACAAGGAGCAAGAUGAUGGGUGCAACCAUGGUCGUCAGCAAGCACGCCAACACCCAAAGCCGGCGCGUCCCUACGUAUUGUCAUCCACCGCACGCCUGACCGAGGAGCAGGAGAGGGAGGUGGACCGGACAGCCCGUGCCAUCGGGUCUUGGGUCCCCGCCUACGUCUCGGUGAUGAACAGGAGCAGCGUCGGCGUGGGCAACAGGAUCUACAACGUAAGCAUUUCCUGUGCGUAUGCUGCCGAGUAUCUUCCACCCGGGGAGCGGGUCGCCGUGACGCUCGUGAGGAGGAAGAAGGCGUGGGAGGUCGAGAUGCGCGCGCGCGGCGGCGGGCGAGCGCUGGCGCAUGGCUGGCGUGGUUUCGCCCGCGACAACCGGCUGCGGGUGCAGGACGUGUGCCUGUUCCAGCCCAUGGAGAAGAACCACGAGAGCCUUACCAUGACCGUCCACAUCGUCCGUCACAGCGGCAAGCGGAAGCAGUAG
Molecule: ribosomal RNA, 1725 nt
Filed under: Triticum aestivum (bread wheat)
Lineage: Eukaryota; Viridiplantae; Streptophyta; Magnoliopsida; Poales; Poaceae
Description: partial small subunit ribosomal RNA
Source: RNAcentral